This 253-nucleotide ribosomal RNA is filed under the name uncultured bacterium. RNAcentral describes it as "partial 16S ribosomal RNA". It matches the Rfam family "Bacterial small subunit ribosomal RNA", at positions 524 to 776 of the family's 1533-position model. The record is from RNAcentral.
UACAGAGGGGGCAAGCGUUAUUCGGAAUUAUUGGGCGUAAAGGGCGCGUAGGCGGCCUGACAAGUGGAAGGUGAAAUCCCUCGGCUCAACUGAGGAACUGCCCUCCAAACUGUUUGGCUUGAGACCGGGAGAGGUGAGUGGAAUUCCCAGUGUAGCGGUGAAAUGCGUAGAUAUUGGGAGGAACACCAGUGGCGAAGGCGGCUCACUGGACCGGUACUGACGCUGAGGCGCGAAAGCGUGGGGAGCGAACAGG